RNAcentral lists this ribosomal RNA (416 nucleotides) under uncultured eukaryote. RNAcentral describes it as "bacterial SSU rRNA". It matches the Rfam family "Eukaryotic small subunit ribosomal RNA", at positions 592 to 1013 of the family's 1831-position model. The record is from RNAcentral.
CAAUAGCGUAUAUUAAAGUUGUUGCAGUUAAAAAGCUCGUAGUUGAACCUUGGGUCUGGCUGGCCGGUCCGCCUCACCGCGAGUACUGGUCCGGCUGGACCUUUCCUUCUGGGGAACCUCAUGGCCUUCACUGGCUGUGGGGAGGACCAGGACUUUUACUGUGAAAAAUUAGAGUGUUCAAAGCAGGCUAUUGCCUUGAAUACAUUAGCAUGGAAUAAUAAUCUAGGACUUCGGUUCUAUUUUGUUGGUUUCUAGUACUGAAGUAAUGAUUGAUAGGGAUAGUUGGGGGUGCUAGUAUUGACCGGCCAGAGGUGAAAUUCUUGGAUUUGCUGAAGACUAACUACUGCGAAAGCAUUCGCCAAGGAUGUUUUUCAUUAAUCAGGGAACGAAAGUUAGGGGAUCGAAGAUGAUCAGAU